This 157-nucleotide small nuclear RNA is filed under the name Octodon degus (degu). Its description in RNAcentral is "U1 spliceosomal RNA (ENSODEG00000021589.1)". It matches the Rfam family "U1 spliceosomal RNA". From Rfam's summary of the family: U1 is a small nuclear RNA (snRNA) component of the spliceosome (involved in pre-mRNA splicing). Its 5' end forms complementary base pairs with the 5' splice junction, thus defining the 5' donor site of an intron. Lineage: Eukaryota; Metazoa; Chordata; Mammalia; Rodentia; Octodontidae. The record is from RNAcentral.
CUGUUGUCUAGGCAGAGGAGGUGAUCCAUGCUCAGGCACGGAUUAUGUGGCUCAUCCAUUGCAAUCCAGAUGUGCUGACCCCAGUGACUGCCCCAAAUGUGGGUAACUCGACUGUGUAAUUUGUGGUAGUGGGGGACUGUGUUUGCACUUUCCCCUA